Venturia canescens is the source of this 87-nucleotide small nucleolar RNA. RefSeq annotates it as small nucleolar RNA snR60/Z15/Z230/Z193/J17. Lineage: Eukaryota; Metazoa; Arthropoda; Insecta; Hymenoptera; Ichneumonidae. The record is from RefSeq and is a predicted model, not a curated record. The transcript has a single exon.
AAUGGCAAAAUGAUGAUUUCAUAGUUCAACUGAUUGAUGCUGAUGUUUUUACUAAGCAAUGUCUUUCGCUCCUAUCUGAUAACCUUC